RNAcentral lists this ribosomal RNA (343 nucleotides) under Scymnus alishanensis. RNAcentral describes it as "partial small subunit ribosomal RNA". The record is from RNAcentral. Lineage: Eukaryota; Metazoa; Arthropoda; Insecta; Coleoptera; Coccinellidae.
UAUAAAUUUAAAUUAAAAAACUUAAUGAUUAAUAGUUAUGAUCUUUAAAGUUAAAUAAUUUGGCGGUAUUUUAGUCUUUUCAGAGGAACCUGUUCUAUAAAUGAUAAUCCACGAUUAAGUUAUCUUAAAUUAGAAAUUUAUAUAUCAUUGUUAUUAAAUAUUUUUUUAGAAUUAAAUAUUUAAAAAAUAUAAUUUUAUUUUAAUUCAGAUCAAGGUAUAGUUUAUAUUUAAGAAGAAAUGGGUUACAAUAUUAAUAAAUUUGAAUUUUAAAUUUAAAAUUUAAAUGAAAUUGGAUUUGAAAGUAAUUAUUUUAUAUCAAUAAUGAUUAAGCUCUAAAAUAUGC